RNAcentral lists this ribosomal RNA (208 nucleotides) under uncultured Clostridium sp. RNAcentral describes it as "partial 16S ribosomal RNA". It matches the Rfam family "Bacterial small subunit ribosomal RNA", at positions 568 to 775 of the family's 1533-position model. Lineage: Bacteria; Bacillati; Bacillota; Clostridia; Eubacteriales; Clostridiaceae. The record is from RNAcentral.
AGCGUAGGCGGACUUUUAAGUGAGAUGUGAAAUACCCGGGCUUAACUUGGGUGCUGCAUUUCAAACUGGAAGUCUAGAGUGCAGGAGAGGAGAAUGGAAUUCCUAGUGUAGCGGUGAAAUGCGUAGAGAUUAGGAAGAACACCAGUGGCGAAGGCGAUUCUCUGGACUGUAACUGACGCUGAGGCUCGAAAGCGUGGGGAGCAAACAG